Molecule: ribosomal RNA, 210 nt
Filed under: Longidorus alvegus
Lineage: Eukaryota; Metazoa; Nematoda; Enoplea; Dorylaimida; Longidoridae
Description: partial 18S ribosomal RNA
Rfam family: Eukaryotic small subunit ribosomal RNA
Source: RNAcentral
UUUUGAUUACGGUCCCUGCCCUUUGUACACACCGCCCGUCGCUACUACCGAUUGGAUGACAUUAGUGAGGUCUUAGGACCGAGGUAAUGGAGCUUUCAUUAGUUCUUUUACUUUGGAAAUUUGAUCGAACUACGUUAUCUAGAGGAAGUAAAAGUCGUAACAAGGUUUCCGUAGGUGAACCUGCGGAAGGAUCAUUAACGAGCUAAUAAA